Molecule: ribosomal RNA, 253 nt
Filed under: uncultured bacterium
Lineage: Bacteria
Description: partial 16S ribosomal RNA
Rfam family: Bacterial small subunit ribosomal RNA
Source: RNAcentral
UACGUAGGGUGCGAGCGUUAAUCGGAAUUACUGGGCGUAAAGGGCGCGUAGGCGGUUUAUCAAGUGAGAUGUGAAAUCCCCGGGCUUAACCUGGGAACUGCAUCUUAAACUGAUGAGCUGGAGUACUGUAGAGGAUAGUGGAAUUUCCGGUGUAGCGGUGAAAUGCGUAGAGAUCGGAAGGAACAUCAGUGGCGAAGGCGACUGUCUGGACAGAUACUGACGCUGAGGCGCGAAAGCGUGGGGAGCAAACAGG